This 480-nucleotide ribosomal RNA is filed under the name uncultured bacterium. RNAcentral describes it as "partial 16S ribosomal RNA". It matches the Rfam family "Bacterial small subunit ribosomal RNA", at positions 28 to 523 of the family's 1533-position model. The record is from RNAcentral.
GACGAACGCUGGCGGCGUGCUUAACACAUGCAAGUCGAGCGGUAAGGCUCCUUCGGGAGUACACGAGCGGCGAACGGGUGAGUAACACGUGAGUAACCUGCCCUUCUCAUCGGAAUAAGCGUUGGAAACGACGUCUAAUGCCGAAUACGACUUCGGAAGGCAUCUUCUGAAGUGGAAAGCUCCGGCGGAGAAGGAUGGACUCGCGGCCUAUCAGCUUGUUGGUGAGGUAACGGCUCACCAAGGCGACGACGGGUAGCCGGCCUGAGAGGGUGACCGGCCACACUGGGACUGAGACACGGCCCAGACUCCUACGGGAGGCAGCAGUGGGGAAUAUUGGACAAUGGGCGCAAGCCUGAUCCAGCAACGCCGCGUGAGGGAUGACGGCCUUCGGGUUGUAAACCUCUUUCAGCGGGGACGAAGCGCAAGUGACGGUACCUGCAGAAGAAGGACCGGCCAACUACGUGCCAGCAGCCGCCGUAA